CUGCAGAAGGGGAUAUGAAAGUGUUGAACUCUGUACCAUGUGUUGUGCAAAGAUGUGAAAACACCUAUGUUCCUUAAAAAUAAUGCCAUACAUAUGCAAAAAAUUAUGAAAAUAAUCAUGUUCCUCUUUUGUAAAGGUCAACCGAAAGUAUUGCAAAAGUGACCGUUGCUGAGGUAGCAGAUAUGGAUGACUAUGCAUAAUCAUGAAAUAAAAGAGUGCUGUUGGAGAGGAACUGGCAGAGAGGGACUGACCGAGUACUCGAGAAGUUCUCCUCAGCCAUUCUCUCCUUGUGCAAGUAAAACGUCUUUUGGUCUCUUCUGUGUUCCUGAAUCCUCCGAGUUUGUUAAAUAUGUCCACUUGAACCUGACAAACUUGUUAUCGCGUGAUUGCACGUGAAUCUGCAGGUUCUUGUGAGUUCUCACAGUUCCUGCUGUCCAUAAUUCACCAAGAAAUUUACCUCACAAACAGAUCCGUUAAGAAUUGGCGUAAAAUCGCCACUGUUACAGAUUUAAGCCAUUCCGAAUGUGGUGGAAAUCCAGGGUCUACCUUGGGUAGUGAAUCCAAAAACACCAUUAGCUUCACAAAUCCUCCAUCGAUCUUUACAUCUAAAGUUAAAAUCUGUUUUUCUCGCAGUUCAAACACCAAGACCUGUUAAUGAUGAUCUUCAACCGCCUCUCUGUUUCCUCUCUCUGUUUCCUCUCUCAGUUUCGGUCCUGCUGUUGGUAAAGGUUACUGUCUUCACAGGCAGAGCGUUGAGGGAUGAACUCUGAGGGUUUUUUUUUUAGGAGGGACGUGGGCUGCAGUUUAUUUGAAAUGUAGAUUCUGCGCCGCGUCUGUAUCGCUUUCAUCCUGUCCAUGAAAAAUGCAUGCUGUGAUCUCAUUAUACCGCUCUUCUCUUGGAACACUACAUAAAAUCAAUCCAGGCCAGAGGAGGGGUGAGAACACUACAGAUGCUUCUUCGCUUUUCACAAUGGCUGAAAAGAGGCCCUACAAGUGGGAGGAGAAGUGUUUUUCAUGUGUGUAAAACGCACAAAAUUAGAGAUCGAGCUGCUUGAUUUAACAUCUUUGAGGCAGCUACAAGUUGUAUUUGUGGACUACACUUCAGACUAAAGGAUCAGGUCUUAAUUUAUGAGUUCUCACCUGCAGGGCUGAGGCCCAGAAGUGGGACAUCGAACCAUUUCAAUGGGUCGCUGUAGUAAAGAUCCUAAAGGAGAUCUGUUCAACUCGUUUUUAUCAAUCAUUGUGUCAGCAUGUGAAGGAGGCAUGGUCAGCUAGAAAAUACUUUAAAAACUCUUCCAAUGUAACUUAAGGGAGGUCAGUUAAGAGACCUUCAGAACCAGAGCUUGGUCUACAGAUCCAGUAGUAAGUCGGACUUGUUUCGGUGAGGGUUGGACUCCACUAGGGCUGAUCUUUGUCACCGAUCCUCCUCAGAACUUUCAUGGACAGAAUUUCUGGGUUCAGCAAGGGUGUUGAGGAGGUCCUCUUUGGUGGUCUCAGGACUGGGUCACUGCUUUUUGCAGAUGAUGUGGUCCUGUUGGUGGCACCAGGCCAUGACCUUCGGUUCGCAACCGAGAGUGAAAUGACUGGGAUGAGAAUGAGCACCUCCACAUCGCUGGAUAAAGGUGGAGUGGCCUCUUUGGGUCAGGGGUGAGAUCCUGCCCCAGGUAGAAGAGUCCAAGUAUCUCUGGGUUUUGUUCACGAAUGAGGAAAGAAUGGAGCAGAAGAUCUACAGGUGGAUUGGUGCAGCUGCUCAGGUCUGUCGUGGUGAAGAAGGAGCUGAGCCAAAAGGUAAAUCUCUGGAUAUACCGAUUGAUCUACUUUCCUACCCUCACCUACGGUCAGGGGCUUUGGAUAGUGACCAUAAGAACAAGAUCUCGGGUACAAGCCGCCGAAAUGAGUUUCCUCCACAGAGUGGCUCUCCAUCAGAGAUAGAGUGAGAAGCUCAGUCCUCCAGGGGAACUCAGAGUCGAGCUGCUGCUCCUUUGUGUCGAGAGUCAGAUGAGGUGGCUUGAGCAGCUGACCAGGAUGCCUCCCGGAUGCCUGGCUGGUGAGGUGUUCAGGGCUUGUCCCACCGGUAGGAGACCAGGGGAAACACCCAGGACACGCUAGAGAAAGUGGGGCUUCCUGCUUCGGCUGCUGCCCCCUCGACCCGUCUCUGGAUAAGUCAUAGAAGACGGAUGGACAGUUAAAAGACAACAGUCAGCUGCUGUGCUGGAAAACACAGGAGUCCUCCUUAUGGAUCCUGUUUCUUCAGAGUUGUUGCUGAGUGAAGUUUAAAUAUCGCUCAGAAAUGUGUGGUCUAAUGUAAGUAAGUCUCCUGUUGGUAUGUGACAAAUGCACCACAGAUGGAUUCAUGAAAAAUGAAGGUUUCAACAAGAAUCACUCUUAAAAGUUCAAACUCUGAACAGCACAGUUUCUAUCCAGUCAGUUCAAAAUGCUUCAGCUGAUAAAAUUCAACUUUAUUCUUUUUAUUUAAUCCAGUAUUCAGCGCUUCAGAAUCAAACAAUUUUAGUUACAAUCAAUCGUAGCCAAAGGUCAUGACGUAGAAAGGCUGACAUCUUCUCCCCUCGUCUGGGACAGUUUUUAACGCUUUCUGCAUUUCAGUUUUUCCCGUUUUCAGGGUUAUUGUGCUUCACGUCACUUUAAGUUCCACAAAAAUCUGACAAUAUCAUCCUUUUAGCCUGCAGCGUUAGUAACUGGUGCACAAAUUGCCAGUAUGUCUGAGUCUGUCACUGUAGGAGGAAUAUAGAAAUAUAAAUAUAGAGUGCUUAUCUUCUCCUCCCUGGAGAAAACUCGCCUGUCAUUUACUUCACAAUAAGAGUUUUCCGCUUUUUUUUUUCUCCGGGGGAUUUUGUCGUUGCUGAAUAAGCAGCAGGUGGGUAGAUAUACAUGUAGCUGCAGUUUAACCAAUUACAGUAAUGAUGGGUGAGGGCCGGGUCUCAUUUCCCUCCGUAAUGAGCUGAAGUCAGCGACGCCUCGCCACGCACGCCGAAUACCAACCGCACACCUGACUCCUAGUCCAGCUGAGCGUGUGAGUUCAGGUUCAGGAGCAGGGGCGAGGGGUCUCUAAUGUUAAAUGCACUGUAGCACAUAUUUAUUUCAGUUAUGGUUGCCAUAGGAACCAGUGACCAAAGGUCUAACAGGAGCUGCGCCCUUGGCCCCCCAGAGAUGAAUGGCCCCGUUCAGCCCGCGACCGCUCGAUUGAUGUCCCCUUCCUCCUUCACGUCAAUACAGGCACAGCUGUCUGUACUGUCCUCACUGUUAGAUUGAUGCAGUCCUCAUCCCUCACCAUCACUAUCAAGGACUCUGGGGCUUUAAAAUGGGAAGUGAAACCAUCACAGCUGGUCCAAACUGGUCUGAAUCGGUUUCAGGAAGCGGCUGCAGCCUUGCUUUUAAAAUGAAGGAGCGUAUCACGGCUGUUUUUGACCUAUAGACAGGAUGUUAAAUCCACAUAUCAGGGCCCCUGACCCUGAACCAGACCACCCACAGUGACCUCUGUGAGGCUCAACCAAGCCAUGGUUUAAGUAUUUUGUUAUUUUCAGACUUCAUACUCAUAAACAUGAACCCCUUCCCUCCUGAGCCGUGUUCAGACCCAGGUAAAGGUUGACCUCUCCGAGAACCAAGGCUGUAAAUCCACAAUCCUUUCUUUUGGUGCCACCGAAGCCUCUUCACGUGAAAGAAGACACCGCCGCGGCCUCGACCUGCACGCUCUGACUAUUGAACAGGCCGGUGGAAAUGUCAGGGGACGCAUGAUCAGUCGCUGGCAUUUAAUAAACAGCAGGUUCAUAGAGGAUGGAGUUUUGUUUAAGUCAACAUCCUUAAAGGGGAGGGAUCGACUGAAGUGUAUGAGGUCGUUGUUCAUAGUCAGUGUUUCAUCAGUUUGACCCUUUUUUUAAAAAUAGAUAUAAGUGGAAAAAAUCAGCGGUUGGCAGGUUUGAAUGAAAAAUUAAAGGCAGGACCCGAGAGCAGAAAUCAAAGUUUUUGACUAAACUUGAAAAAACUAAAAUUUACCUUGACUGUCUCCUCACACCAAACGCGAGUAAAAUCAUUCGCGAAGACGCAAAUUGCGCGGGAGCUGAAAAUAUCUCAACUUGAGCAGAUAUUUGCGUCGCGAUAACUAAUCAGCACGAAGGUUGCCAGAUGAUGUAUGAAAACGGCCGGUUGUUCACUGGUAUCUAAAUUGGAGGACAAACUGAUCGGGUGCCCGGAAUUAUAUGAUACCUUUUCUUUCAGUUAUCGAAACCGGAAUAAAAAGGAGCAAGUGAAUGAGGAGGUAGGCUUACCUGGUAAAUUGUAAAAAAACUUUGUCUAUCACUUGAUCCCGCUGGUUGAAUUGGCGGGUAGAUGAUUUUACUCGCGCUUGGUGUGAGCGCCCCAUUACACUGAUGUUAUCUCCCUAGGCUAUAUAGUUCAGCUCUAGACCCAGUCCCUCUUAGAACUGAAGACGUCUUCUGGAGAAGAGGCAAAAUGUCUUCCAGAUAACCCAAGAAGUCCAGUUGCCAUUUUAGAAGACUUCCCCGAUGAAUGAAACAGGAAAUUUAGUCCGGAUUGAAAUUUUACGGUACUCUAUCGUAAUUAUCAUGUGGGGUAUUUUUUAUUGAAUAGUUAUAAACACAGAAGAGACACUUGACUGACACUGCUGAGUUUAACAUCUGUAGUUGGUGAGACAGAAAAAGGCCCGUAUGUGAGACCUAAAAAAACGCCACUUCCAAGAGAUCGACAGGAGAGUGUCAGAGUGUUCCUGAAAACACAAGGUCCUCUGUCAGCACAUAAUGAAAUAAUCGUGAUAAUUGCAGCCUAAAGAAGGACCCCAGAAACAUCCUACAUGUUCUUUGAAACCCCUGAUUAUGAUAUUUGUCGGGAUCAUUUGUGCGAGCAUACUUUGAAACAAAGGCUAUAAUUUGCGGAUGAGCGAGCAUGUAGCACGGGCUCGUAAUGAUUGGAUAAUUGGAUGAUUCAGGAUUACAAUGAGUUUAAUUUUCAUUGUAACACGAGAGGAAACGAGUCAGGUGGUCGAGUCAGUCCACGGAUUCCUCUGUGGAAGUGAGCUAUCUCCUCUCCAGCAGCCACCUCUCGCCUGCUGUAAUUUUCCGUCUGAUUGUUCCAGUAAUUAAAUUGGCCACGCCGUCUGUCGGCGGUGACAGACAAAGAUCAAAGCCCCGUGGAUCAGAACACGGCGUGCCGACAAGAAACCCAGACGCACAAAAAAAAGAAAAGGGAAGGACGGCAGUGAGGAUGUAGAGGAGUGAAGGAAAGCUGAGACGAUGGGGACAAACGGAAAUUAAAUUAGACGAUGCGGCACUGACGAAGCAUUUGGUUGAAACAGAAUAAGGUGAGAACGACCGCGGUGAAUGUGAGAGGCAUUUAAUAACACAACUUUGAACAACAGAGGAGGGAACCACUCGAACCUUUGACUAAUAAUGUAAUAAAAGGCCCUCAGAGGUGGGAUCGAUUGUUUCCCUCUGAAACUGAGACGGACGAUUCAAACAAAGUCAGUGUGCGUCUUCUGUUUCAGAGCCUGAUCAUGUUUUUUUUUAGUUUCCUUUUGUUCAAACAUCUGACAUAAACUGAAACCAGAAGUAAAGAUGAUUUUAAAAUUAUCUGUUUUAUUCUGAGUCCAAAUAUCCGUCGGUCAGAUUCCCCAAGGAGUCCAUUGUUAGAAGCUUACAGAUGGUAUGAACACCAGAAAUGUCCGAUAUAUUGAUUAAUUGAGCUGUUUAUCAAUUCGGUUCACAGUAACAUGAACCCAGUAAUUUAAAACAGCUGGUCUCAUCACUACCUGACAAACUUCCUAACCCUCAUACAAACCACAGUAAACCAAAACAAAUCCAUGUUUAAUCAGUAAAAACUCUAUUGUCCGAUAUUUGCACGCAAAAAUUUCAAAGCCAACAACACGAUAAUCACAGAGGUCAAAGGUCGUAUGCAAUCACUGAUGCAAAAUGGACUGCAGCCUCUCAGUUUCUACUCUCAGUAUGCUUGUAGUGAUCAGAGUGGGCGGGGAUUAGACUAUGUUAUAUUAGACUAUGUUAAUUAGAUGCUGUUCUGAUUGGCUGCCUGAUUAUUCUCCAAAGGGUAUAGGUGCAGACGAACGCAGAGGUGGAAUAACACCGAAACAAAUUUGGCGAGCGCUCCAGGAGAACCUAUCAAAGUUUUUAAAGUAUAAGCUGUUUUUGCCCAGUUUGUUAGCUACAGAAACAGGAAGGAGGAUUAAAUCAGAUAAUAUAUUUUGAAUGUAACCCCAAAUUACCGCUUAUACCAGCGUCCCCGAGCGUGAGUGCAGCAGUGAUUCCAGUCCCACCCUGCGCAUAGAAAAAUGAACGAGGUCGCGGAUAAAUGUGCUUUGAUUGGCUCAGGCGUGGAUGGGCCUUUUUGAUGGAUGGAAGCCCAGACCCUAACCCUAACCUUAAAGGGAUAUUCCGGCGAAUUUAGGGUCAGAGUUAGACCCCCCCUCAACAGAUGAAUGUUGUCGACCGCUUGCUUCUCUAGUUAUACCAACUUUAGUAACGACCGCAGGAUAGCAAUACAGAGAGCCACGCCCUCAACUAAAACACCACUCUAUAGCCACAAAAAAUGCUCAGAACAGCACCUAACUUCAUCAACAGGACAUAGAGGGUCACAGCCAUAGUACUAGACACCAAACGUCUUUUUAACUUUGACUAAAUUCUUUAGCAGAGAGACUAAACACAACUCACCUACUCUCUUCCAGCAGCCGCUUGUUUGUAUAUGUCCUGUUGAUGAAGUUAGGUGCUGUUCUGAGCAUUAUUUGUGGCUAUAGAGUGGCGUUUUGGUUGAGCGUCUCUGUGUUGCUAUCCUGUGGUCUUUACUAAAGUUGGUAUAACUAGAGAAGCAAGCAGUCGGCAACAUCCACCCCUCGACGGGGUGUCUAACUCUGUGUUACGGUGUGUUUGACCCUAACUUAAUUUUUCGCCGGAAUAUUCCUUUAACCCUAACCUUAACCCCUUCGGUAUCACCUGAAUGCUAAACAUGUUGCAGCUAGCGUGGAAGCUAAUGCCAGUCCGACUCCGAGUACAGCGACCCACACUCGACCAGAUGAGUGGAUUCAGAGCUAAGAUGAGUAAGUCCACGUCAGAAAAAUUAACAUCCUGAAAUUGCUGGACUCUAUUAUGGCAUAAAAAAACGCUGAUCUGUUGGUCUUGGUUAAGUAUCAUCUUUAAAAAAAUUUAACAUUUAAAAAGUAAUGAUUCUCACUGUUCUCAGAUCAAAUAUUUACAUGCAAUUAAAAUGCGAUUAAUUGCAAUUAAUUCACCACAAACCUCUGAUUAGUUUGAUGAAUGUUUUUAAUCGGGUCACAGCCCGACUAUAAAAUGAAAACAGAAAUGGCGAGUUGAGCAGCAACCAGAGGGGACGGGGUAAGAAAUGCUCUCUCUUCCAACGACAGACUCAUUUGCAAAUUCCCAGAGGACAGAGGUUAUGAUCAGGAUUUAUCAAAACUGUCACAACCCCCCCAGCCACCAGAAGUGGCUAUUUUUCCUGUCAGGAUGAAAUUGAAAUGCACAAACUGUCGCUCAAUCAGGAUACAUGCCAGCGGAGUACGAGGACUUCUGCAGAAAUAAACCCUCAGAAAUAACCUCAGCAAAUGAGAAGCUGCAGAGAUUGUUCCAGUCCGUGGAGCUGUGGUGGAUAAUAAACCUCGGAGGAGUCAUGAGCUCAGACCACAGUCUCCACAAAACCAGCUAUAUUAAGAGAUGUGGGCAUAAACUUCUGAUGAAUUGAACUUAAACCUCUCCGUUCAGUCAAUGGUAACGCCACAAAAAUAGAAGUUUCCUGCUAAUUUUUUCUUACGUCAUCAAAUCUUUAAUACGAUUAAAAUCCCAAUUCUAUAUCUGCAUCUGUGUUUGUGUGUGGCACUCGUGCUUUAUGCCUGUAGCGUUUUAGCCAGAGGUUAUACACUGGUGGUAGAGGCUGCUAUAUUAAGUGGCCAUCAGUGUCAACUCAUCCAGUUAACACUCAGUCACACCAGCUAUGCCACUGGGAGCAAUUAGAUUUCAAUGUUCUGCCUAGGGAUACGACUGCAAGUGGAUUAAGGGAGCCGGGAUCGUACCACCAACCCUCCACGAGAUCUCAGGAUAGAUUAUUUUACCGUUUUUGAAAAUAUGUUGUAAAGUCGGCGAAAGAGCGGUACGUCCUCAGGCUAGCUAAAGGUUACCAUGAUAUGUCUCGCUGUAAUGAGCGCGCUGAGAGCGAGGCAUGAGUGUGAAAACGUGCCUUUACAUCAGGACAUCUGCAUGGUGAAGUCCUGGAGGGCGAGCCCAACACACACACACACACACACACACACACACACACACACACACACACACACAGAGCUCCUGCCUCCUGCAAUGAAAUUACCGCCUUUAUCAGAAUGUAAUGACUGUUAUUGAGCUGUCUCCCCUCGCACACUGUCACACAGCCACAGGAAAUGGCAGCAAGUCUAUUUUCAGGCCGCCGACAGAUGACAGCUCUCAGGUUAGACCCAACACUGCUAAAGCAUCACAUACUGCAGUUACUAGAACAACCACUAGGGGGGCUGCUCCGAAAAUGAGCCAAUCCCACUUGGGUUUCUUGUUAAAAUGUUAAACUUUGUACACAGCUGCUGCCAAAGUGGACAGACACAAAAUAAAACAUCCGGCUUCUUUUCAAAAUAAAACACUCAGGAGGAUCGUAUUUCACACCAUGCAAACGGGCGGAGACGAACAAGUGAAAGGUUUUUAGACGUCAUUUCACCCUGAUGACACCAUGGAUGAGGAGAUGCUGAUUCUAGAAGUCUAGAAGUAGAUUUCCUCCUCUGGAAGGACACAAUCUACUGCUUAUAUGGUUAGCCUCUGUGGCUAAAGACAACUUUGAUGGAAAAAUCUAUAAAAAAGUUAUCAUGCUUUAGAUGAUUCUAUAUGAUUAAUAUGUGAUUUAAUUCUUUCAGAUGGAUUUCAGUAUGAUUUGAAUCGUUGAAGAAUGAUCUUAAACUCUUAAUCUUUUAGUUCUGCAGAAGGGGAUAUGAAAGUGUUGAACUCUGUACCAUGUGUUGUGCAAAGAUGUGAAAACACCUAUGUUCCUUAAAAAUAAUGCCAUACAUAUGCAAAAAAUUAUGAAAAUAAUCAUGUUCCUCUUUUGUAAAGGUCAACCGAAAGUAUUGCAAAAGUGACCGUUGCUGAGGUAGCAGAUAUGGAUGACUAUGCAUAAUCAUGAAAUAAAAGAGUGCUGUUGGAGAGGAACUGGCAGAGAGGGACUGACCGAGUACUCGAGAAGUUCUCCUCAGCCAUUCUCUCCUUGUGCAAGUAAAACGUCUUUUGGUCUCUUCUGUGUUCCUGAAUCCUCCGAGUUUGUUAAAUAUGUCCACUUGAACCUGACAAACUUGUUAUCGCGUGAUUGCACGUGAAUCUGCAGGUUCUUGUGAGUUCUCACAGUUCCUGCUGUCCAUAAUUCACCAAGAAAUUUACCUCACAAACAGAUCCGUUAAGAAUUGGCGUAAAAUCGCCACUGUUACAGAUUUAAGCCAUUCCGAAUGUGGUGGAAAUCCAGGGUCUACCUUGGGUAGUGAAUCCAAAAACACCAUUAGCUUCACAAAUCCUCCAUCGAUCUUUACAUCUAAAGUUAAAAUCUGUUUUUCUCGCAGUUCAAACACCAAGACCUGUUAAUGAUGAUCUUCAACCGCCUCUCUGUUUCCUCUCUCUGUUUCCUCUCUCUGUUUCCUCUCUCAGUUUCGGUCCUGCUGUUGGUAAAGGUUACUGUCUUCACAGGCAGAGCGUUGAGGGAUGAACUCUGAGGGUUUUUUUUUUAGGAGGGACGUGGGCUGCAGUUUAUUUGAAAUGUAGAUUCUGCG
Molecule: non-coding RNA, 9820 nt
Organism: Xyrichtys novacula (pearly razorfish)
Lineage: Eukaryota; Metazoa; Chordata; Actinopteri; Labriformes; Labridae
Source: the annotation of a GenBank genome assembly